RNAcentral lists this ribosomal RNA (301 nucleotides) under uncultured bacterium. RNAcentral's name for it is "partial 16S ribosomal RNA". It matches the Rfam family "Bacterial small subunit ribosomal RNA", at positions 509 to 807 of the family's 1533-position model. The record is from RNAcentral.
CAGUCGCCGCGGGAAUACGGAGGGUGCAAGCGUUAAUCGGAAUUACUGGGCGUAAAGCGCACGCAGGCGGUUUGUUAAGUCAGAUGUGAAAUCCCCGAGCUUAACUUGGGAACUGCAUCUGAUACUGGCAAGCUAGAGUGUGUCAGAGGGGGGUGGAAUUCCGCGUGUAGCAGUGAAAUGCGUAGAUAUGCGGAGGAACACCGAUGGCGAAGGCAGCCCCCUGGGCCAAUACUGACGCUCAUGCACGAAAGCGUGGGGAGCAAACAGGAUUAGAUACCCGGGUAGUCCCUGUCUCUUAUAC